This 373-nucleotide long non-coding RNA is filed under the name Gallus gallus (chicken). Its description in RNAcentral is "long non-coding RNA NONGGAT004466". Lineage: Eukaryota; Metazoa; Chordata; Aves; Galliformes; Phasianidae. The record is from RNAcentral.
GAGGGUAGAGGAGGAGUCCAAAAAGGCCUAACUGCAUUUUUAACUCCAGUGAUACACACGAUAGCAUGGCACUGCGUAUCGCCCAGACAUUGCAGCUCCCUCUGACCUAGAAGGAGAGGCACGUCAGAUUACUUCAUGCAACAAGACCUGACCAGGCACAUUUCCGCAACGUUCUCUGCAGCAGAUGAUCUCAGGAGCCUGGCAUUUUACCUGUCCUCAACUCCCUCCUUCGGUGCAGAUCAUUGGAACACAGAAGCUUCACUGACUGCAUCUUGGUCAGCAACUGAUUUGCUCUGAUAGGUACCAGAGCACCUUGGAAUAUCAAUUUCACAUGAGUAAACUGAUCUGAAGACUAUUAAAAGAUUGGCUGGCA